This 405-nucleotide ribosomal RNA is filed under the name uncultured bacterium. RNAcentral describes it as "partial 16S ribosomal RNA". It matches the Rfam family "Bacterial small subunit ribosomal RNA", at positions 28 to 526 of the family's 1533-position model. The record is from RNAcentral.
GAUGAACGCUGGCGGCGUGCCUAAUACAUGCAAGUCGAGCGAAGCGGGGACGGGAGAGUAACACGUGGAUAACCUCCUAUAAGACUGGGAUAACUUCGGGAAACCGGAGCUAAACGGGAAACUUAUAGAUGGAUCAGGGAUGCUUUAGCUAGUUGGUAAGGUAACGGCUUACCAGGGCAACGAUCCAUUGCCGACCUGAGAGGGUGUUCGGCCACCCUGGACCUGGUACCCGUGCCAGACUCCUACGUAAGGCAGCAGUAGGUAAUCUUCCGCAAUGGGCGAACGCCUGACGUGGCAACGCCGCGUGAGUGAUGAAGGUCUUCGGAUCUUAAAACUCUGUUAUUAUGGAAGCGGUACCUAAUCCGCCCGCCACGGCUAACUACGUGCCAGCAGCCGCGGUCCUUC